GGGGUGUGUCGUCUUUAGCCUUGCUCCCUUUUCCACUUGCUUUGGUUGCCAAACACCGAAGGAUUACUAAUCAUGUUCCUUAUUUAUUUUUUUUAAUCAGAGAUUUACCUGUAUUUGAUUUCCAGCUAUAGACUAUGAGCGUUCACACCAGCCUUUGCAAAGGUGUUGAGCUCCUCAAGUUAAUUGGUAAUAAAUUAACCUUGGGAGGUUGUUUGUGUGAAGCAGAUUACGUGCAUGCAGCUUUGUGGAGGUUUUUAGUGAAGCAAAACAUAGGAAAGAAAGGUGGAAACAGGGAUACAUGACACAAUUCAGAUUGCCUGGAAUGCCUGUAAUAAACAGUUGUUUUGUGCAUCUGAAUAUCUGCAUCUGUCAGUUCUCUUUAGAAAACAUAUAAGAAAAACCUCAGGAAAGUUUAUUUGGGGCACCUGCAAUAAUAAAAUUGAAGUGGCCCAAGCCUGAAAAUCACACCAUGCGUCUCCAAAUCCCUGCUGGAGUGAAUGGAGCUGGUGGGGUCUAUUCAGGUUCCUCACCAUACAGGUGGUAUUGGGAGGACAUGGUGGCUCAGCUCUUGAAAUUUCUACCUGCCCCUAGAUGUGUCCUGGCCUCCAGAAGGGUGAUCUCACUAAUCACUUUUUAAGAAUCCAGCAUCCAGGGUUAAUCAACACGAGCUGAAUUACAGCAAAGGUUCCUACAGCAGUGGAAAAAUCCUGUGCAACUCCCUUUCCUCAAGUUAUCCUCUUGGAUAGUGGGGUUUAUCCUCUGCCUGAGUUCUGCCCAAAUCCUCAUGAUCCCUGCAAAGCCAAGGCCUCUUUCCAAAAAGCUUCUGCCUCUCGGGGCCUUUGUCUAUUUGACAAGGCAGAUCUUCCAAUAGUUGAUUUUCUGUUUGGCAGUCAAACUAAAGGCUAAAAAAGCAUGAUACAGGUCAACCCCAAAAACCUCACGGGAAUGGAAAGGGAGAUUCCCAAGGAAACUGUCCUCAGCCACAAGGCUUAUAAAGAGAAAUUAUCACCCAAUCCACUGCCUACAACAGAGCCUCAGAGCACACAGGAUGCAAGUUCAAACUCCUUCUGUUUCUCAUAUGGAAAGUAUUUUUAAAAAGCUUUCCUGGAAGCAAUAUCACACCCAGUGUGCCAGGCAACACCAGAGGCACAUGGAGAUGGAGCACAAAGAGGCAGGAGUCUGGCUGUGCCUUGCUGUGCCUACACUGCUCAGCACAAAGGCCAGGGCAGAGUGGCAACCCUGGGCUCACAGGCACUGUGCCUAGAGCUUGCUUCCCAAGGAGAACAUUUACCUUGGAAACAGCUACUUGGAGUGAUCCACACCAAAGGCUCAGAGCUAGCAGAGAGCCCAGCAGACAAUGAGCACAAAUCCAGGGCUGAAGUCCAUCUCUUCUUUGUUGGUGAUGUAGCUAUGCCUGUCAGAUGUGCCUACAAUGUCAGACACAGCUCUUCAGCUGACUCUGGGUCCUCAUCCUUGAUUGUUCCCAUGGUGUUGGUCAGCACAUGCCUAUGCUGUUCCCUGGACCAGAUCAAGGAGCUCCCUCCAGCCACCAAGCAGUGCUGCUCUGGACAUGGAUACUCCUGGAAAAACUUGCAAGAGCCACAUGAACAAGCUCUGUCUCAUUUCCCCUGGGAUGUUCCUCCAGCAUGGUCCCACCAGCCUUUCCAUCCUCCAGCUCUUCUGAAUGCUCUCAUGCUUCAAUCCAUGCCAGGCUAUACACCCCAUGGAAUUCAGCACUGGUCCAUAGGCUGAACACACAGGGCCAAGCUAAGCUGGAGUCAAGUCCCAUGCAAUGCUGCCAAAUUCAGCCUCUUUUGUUGGCUGGCCCUGAGCAGCCAACACUGCUCUGGAACAACUGCUCUUGUCCACUACCUACCAGAUCCCAGGCCUGCUCUUUGGGGCAGGCAGUUUAGUCCUGCUGGUAUUCCUGCUCUAUCUGGUCCAACAAACAGUGUAAAUAAUUCUACUCUGAGCAAGAGGAUUAGGAAAGCCCCCUUGCAGGCUGUCCUGUGGUUUGGCCAUGCUCUGAAGACACAGCAUGUUGGUAAAUCCUCACUCCAGCUGAGGUUUCCUUUUGAGAUCAGCUUCAAAAAUAAAAAGUAAAAAGAACCUCAAACCAACAAAGCAAGCCACUUUUAUGUUUCUAAUUUUUGGGGUUAAUUCUGAUGAAUGGUUGCACACCAAUUGGCAGAUAGCUUCUGUCAACCAGGAACUGCUUUUCAGUGAGUAAUCUGUUUUUCAGACAUCAUUGGCUCUACUUGUACCCCCUUCCCACUGCCACAGGAGAGGGAAGGGAUACUGCAGGAACUGCUUCACAUAUGAUCCUUGCUGCCCUGGCUCUCAUGUAGCCACCAAAUGGUCUCACCCUCUGCCUGCUCUUCUGCUUGGAGAUAUUAAGGACCUUCAGCAGUUACCAUGUCUCACUCUGGGUAGCUUCUUCUUCCUCAGCUGCACCUCUCCCAGUGCUGUCAGAAUGGCCAUGGCGACUCUGUCAAGACUUGCUCACCUAAUUUCCAUAUUGAGGAUUUCUAGCUACUAUAAGUGGCAUUUCUAUGUCCUCCUUUCAGGACACACAUCUUUAUGAGCCCAUCAGGUUAUGCCAUCUGCUGUCUGUUGGAAUGUAAACACCUUCUUAGGGACAGGUACAUGCACAACAAUGGUAAUGUUUGUUACCAGGACAUGGCUGUGGGGCUCCACAGGUGGC
Molecule: long non-coding RNA, 2704 nt
Organism: Passer montanus (Eurasian tree sparrow)
Lineage: Eukaryota; Metazoa; Chordata; Aves; Passeriformes; Passeridae
Exons: 5
Source: RefSeq, a predicted model, not a curated record